This 440-nucleotide ribosomal RNA is filed under the name uncultured bacterium. RNAcentral's name for it is "partial 16S ribosomal RNA". It matches the Rfam family "Bacterial small subunit ribosomal RNA", at positions 338 to 795 of the family's 1533-position model. The record is from RNAcentral.
CCUACGGGAGGCUGCAGUGGGGAAUAUUGCACAAUGGGGGAAACCCUGAUGCAGCGACGCCGCGUGAGCGAUGAAGUAUCUCGGUAUGUAAAGCUCUAUCAGCAGGGAAGAAGAUGACGGUACCUGACUAUGAAGCUCCGGCUAACUACGUGCCAGCAGCCGCGGUAAUACGUAGGGGGCAAGCGUUAUCCGGAUUUACUGGGUGUAAAGGGAGCGUAGACGGGGUUGCAAGCCAGAUGUGAAAGCCCGGGGCUCAACCGCGGGACUGCAUUUGAAACUGUGUGGCUGGAGUGUCGGAGAGGCAGGCGGAAUUCAUGGUGUAGCGGUGAAAUGCUUAGAUAUUAGGAAGAACUCCAGUGGCGAAGGCGAGCUGCUGGACGGCGACUGACGUUGAGGCUCGAAAGCGUGGGGAGCAAACAGGAUUAGAUACCCUUGUAGUC